AGGCUGUUUUGCUGAAGAUCCCUGUGUACCUGAGGCCUUCUGAAGAGCUGACUGGAGAAAGGAAGAGGAUAAAUGGCAUAAAACUGGCCAACGUCAGAGGAUGUCCUACAUCAAGUUACAUUCCUAGGUUAUUUGUACUGCCUGAAAAGAGUAAAAAUCUCAUUAAAAGAGAAAAGGAGCAAGCUAUUAUUUUUCUGGAAUAUCCCAACAUAGGCUUAGUGCCAAGCAUGCUGGUGUUGAAGAGGAGAAGCUGUUCUACAGCUGUUCUCAACAUGAGGAAAAACAAGUAAGAGCCUUUCAGAAAUGCCAUCAUGAAGUGGUAUGGGCAACGGCUGGUAGCAGCAGGAGAG
This 350-nucleotide long non-coding RNA is filed under the name Gallus gallus (chicken). Lineage: Eukaryota; Metazoa; Chordata; Aves; Galliformes; Phasianidae. The record is from RNAcentral.